CAAAACAUAGAAACCUAAAAUGGUAAUUUCACAACAACAAAGAUGAAACUUGUAAUUCUUAUCAGGUAACGGCGGUCCUCCGCUUGCUGCCGCCGAUGGUCGUCGGAGAUUUCACCCGUUUCUGCAAUUUUGUAAGGUUUUUGGUCUUCCCAAAACUGAAAUGAGAAUUAAAUCCAGAUUGAGGUUUGAUAAGCUUGUGGUUGAAAGUAGCUAAUGACAUAUGGAGGCACUCGAAGUCGGGAGUCAGGUAUGCUUGUGAAUUCAUACUGCAUUAGAGAUGAGCCCUAAACACCUGAUGCAGUAGGAGGCUAGUAGUGAACUGAAAACAUUAUUUUGUUGAAAUUGUUGACAGUUACAUCCUGUUUACUUAGAGUAUGAGAUCAUCUUCUAUGGAGGCUUAUAGAUCAUUAUUUUUUAUUUUCGCAUUUUUUCAUGCCUAGUGUUUGCUGAUGCAGUUGAAUUGGACUUCUUUCUUUUCUUAUAACUCAAUUUUACUGC
This is a long non-coding RNA of Cynara cardunculus var. scolymus (artichoke), 498 nucleotides long. RefSeq lists it as uncharacterized. NCBI's taxonomy places the organism in Eukaryota, Viridiplantae, Streptophyta, Magnoliopsida, Asterales, Asteraceae. The transcript is spliced from 2 exons. The record is from RefSeq and is a predicted model, not a curated record.